RNAcentral lists this ribosomal RNA (253 nucleotides) under uncultured bacterium. Its description in RNAcentral is "partial 16S ribosomal RNA". It matches the Rfam family "Bacterial small subunit ribosomal RNA", at positions 524 to 776 of the family's 1533-position model. The record is from RNAcentral.
GACGUAGGGCGCGAGCGUUGUCCGGAUUUAUUGGGCGUAAAGAGCUCGUAGGCGGCUUGUCGCGUCGUCCGUGAAAACUUGGGGCUCAACCCCAGCUUGCGGUCGAUACGGGCAGGCUAGAGUUCGGUAGGGGAGACUGGAAUUCCUGGUGUAGCGGUGAAAUGACGCAGAUAUCAGGAAGAACACCAAUGGCGAAAGCAGCUUUCUGGGACGGUACUGACGCUGAGACGCGAAAGCGUGGGGAGCGAACAGG